This 253-nucleotide ribosomal RNA is filed under the name uncultured bacterium. RNAcentral describes it as "partial 16S ribosomal RNA". It matches the Rfam family "Bacterial small subunit ribosomal RNA", at positions 524 to 776 of the family's 1533-position model. The record is from RNAcentral.
UACGGGGGGAGCAAGCGUUGUUCGGAAUUACUGGGCGUAAAGGGCUCGUAGGUGGCCAACUAAGUCAGACGUGAAAUCCCCAGGCUCAACUUGGGAACUGCGUCUGAUACUGGAUGGCUUGAAUUCGGGAGAGGGAUGCAGAAUUCCAGGUGUAGCGGUGAAAUGCGUAGAUAUCUGGAGGAAUACCGGUGGCGAAGGCGGCAUCCUGGACCGAGAUUGACACUGAUGAGCGAAAGCUAGGGGAGCAAACGGG